This 516-nucleotide ribosomal RNA is filed under the name uncultured Glomus. Its description in RNAcentral is "SSU rRNA". It matches the Rfam family "Eukaryotic small subunit ribosomal RNA", at positions 569 to 1089 of the family's 1831-position model. The record is from RNAcentral. Lineage: Eukaryota; Fungi; Glomeromycota; Glomeromycetes; Glomerales; Glomeraceae.
AGCAGCCGCGGUAAUUCCAGCUCCAAUAGCGUAUAUUAAAGUUGCUGCAGUUAAAAAGCUCGUAGUUGAAUUUCGGGACCAAUAUGUCGGUCGUGCCUCGGUACGUACUGGCAUCGUUGGUUUCUCCCUUCUGAAGAACCAUGAUGUCAUUCAUUUGGUGUCGUGGGGAAUCAGGACUGUUACUUUGAAAAAAUUAGAGUGUUUAAAGCAGGCUCACGCUUGAAUACAUUAGCAUGGAAUAAUGAAAUAGGACGUUUGAUUCUAUUUUGUUGGUUUCUAGGAUCGACGUAAUGAUUAAUAGGGAUAGUUGGGGGCAUUAGUAUUCAACUGUCAGAGGUGAAAUUCUUGGAUUUAUUGAAGACUAACUACUGCGAAAGCAUUUGCCAAGGAUGUUUUCAUUAACCAAGAACGAAAGUUAGGGGAUCGAAGACGAUCAGAUACCGUCGUAGUCUUAACCAUAAACUAUGCCGACUAGGAAUCAGACGAUGUAUUUUUAAUGUACUCGUUUGGCUACCG